Molecule: ribosomal RNA, 109 nt
Filed under: Scophthalmus maximus (turbot)
Lineage: Eukaryota; Metazoa; Chordata; Actinopteri; Pleuronectiformes; Scophthalmidae
Source: RNAcentral
GCUUACGGCCACACCGCCUGGUUCACGCCUGAUCUCGGAAGCUAAGAUAGGUUGGGCCUGGUUAGUACUUGGAUGGGAGACCGCCUGGGAAUACCAGGUGCUGAAGGCC